GCCAGCAGCCAUGUCACCCUGCAGCUCCCAGCUGGCAGCCCCACUGCAGCUCAGCAGGAGUGAGCCUGGUCAGUACCUGGAUGGGAGACCUCCUGGGAAAGCUAAGGUUGCUGCUGGAA
RNAcentral lists this ribosomal RNA (119 nucleotides) under Lepisosteus oculatus (spotted gar). The record is from RNAcentral. Lineage: Eukaryota; Metazoa; Chordata; Actinopteri; Semionotiformes; Lepisosteidae.